Molecule: ribosomal RNA, 256 nt
Filed under: uncultured bacterium
Lineage: Bacteria
Description: partial 16S ribosomal RNA
Rfam family: Bacterial small subunit ribosomal RNA
Source: RNAcentral
UACAGAGGGUGCGAGCGUUGUUCGGAAUUACUGGGCAUAAAGCGCGCGCAGGCGGCCUUUUAAGUCCAUCGGUGAAAUGCCGGGGCUCAACCCCGUUGCAGGCCGAGGAUACUGGGAGGCUGGAGACACGUAGAGGCAAGCGGAAUUCCGGGUGUAGCGGUGGAAUGCGUAGAGAUCCGGAAGAACACCGGAGGCGAAGGCGGCUUGCUGGGCGUGAUCGUGACGCUGAGGCGCGAAAGCGUGGGGAGCGAACAGG